This 253-nucleotide ribosomal RNA is filed under the name uncultured bacterium. Its description in RNAcentral is "partial 16S ribosomal RNA". It matches the Rfam family "Bacterial small subunit ribosomal RNA", at positions 524 to 776 of the family's 1533-position model. The record is from RNAcentral.
UACGGGGGGUGCGAGCGUUGUCCGGAAUCACUGGGCGUAAAGGGCGCGUAGGCGGCCCGGUAAGUAGGGGGUGAAAUCUUGCGGCUUAACCGCAAGGCUGCCUUCUAAACUGCCAGGCUCGAGCACAGUAGAGGCAGGUGGAAUUCCCGGUGUAGCGGUGGAAUGCGUAGAGAUCGGGAAGAACAUCGGUGGCGAAGGCGGCCUGCUGGGCUGUUGCUGACGCUGAGGCGCGACAGCGUGGGGAGCAAACAGG